This 98-nucleotide transfer RNA is filed under the name Mycolicibacterium austroafricanum. RNAcentral's name for it is "tRNA-His(gtg)". Lineage: Bacteria; Bacillati; Actinomycetota; Actinomycetes; Mycobacteriales; Mycobacteriaceae. The record is from RNAcentral.
CGGCGGGGCGCCCGGUGGUUGCGCGGGACCUGCCGGUGCUGCGGGAGGUGUUCGGCGGCGCAGUGUCUUUCGCUGGUUCUGUAUCCGGCUUCGCGGCC